RNAcentral lists this long non-coding RNA (551 nucleotides) under Pan troglodytes (chimpanzee). RNAcentral's name for it is "long non-coding RNA NONPTRT009715". The record is from RNAcentral. Lineage: Eukaryota; Metazoa; Chordata; Mammalia; Primates; Hominidae.
CGGCAGUUUGGCUCAUGGGAUAAUGUACCUGUCCUCAUUUUUUCAGGUUGCCUUGCCCAUUCUGGACACUUUGAUUGUAAGAAUAUUGGAAACAAAGCGAGGAGCUGGUUUAAUACAUGCGGGUUGCGUUGAGGAUUUCCUAGGAAAACCAAGGAGGAAGGAAAAACUGGACCUCAUGGAUUUACUUUAGGAAGGUACAAAGCCUGAGAAGCUUAAGGUAUUUCAGUCUGUUUUAUAUUACUCACUUGCAAAAAGCAGGCUCAUCGAAUACAGGUGAGUUUCAACACGUCUUGAAUACGGCAGCAUUUAAAAGUCUUUAGACUGGGCAUGGUGACUCAUGCCUGUAAUCCCAGCACUUUGGGAGGCCAAGGUGGGAGGAUCAUUUGAGGCCAGGAGUUCGAGACCAGUCUGCUAAGCAUAGCAAGACCCCUUCUCUACAAAAAGUAAGCAAAUUAGCUAGGUGUGGUGGUGUGUUCCUGUAGUUCCAGCUGCUUGGGUGGCUGAGGCAGGCAGAUCGCCUGAGCACAGGAGUUGGGGGCUGCAGUGAGCUA